Molecule: ribosomal RNA, 400 nt
Filed under: uncultured bacterium
Lineage: Bacteria
Description: bacterial SSU rRNA
Rfam family: Bacterial small subunit ribosomal RNA
Source: RNAcentral
UGGGGAAUUUUGGACAAUGGGGGCAACCCUGAUCCAGCAAUGCCGCGUGGAGGAUGACGCAUUUCGGUGUGUAAACUCCUUUUAUAAGGGAAGAUAAUGACGGUACCUUAUGAAUAAGCACCGGCUAACUCCGUGCCAGCAGCCGCGGUAAUACGGAGGGUGCAAGCGUUGUCCGGAAUUAUUGGGCGUAAAGAGCUCGUAGGUGGUUCGAUACGUCGGAUGUGAAAAUCAGGGGCUCAACCCCUGACCUGCAUCCGAUACGGUCGAGCUAGAGUUUGGUAGGGGAGACUGGAAUUCCUGGUGUAGCGGUGGAAUGCGCAGAUAUCAGGAGGAACACCGAUGGCGAAGGCAAUCCCCUGGGCCUGCACUGACGCUCAUGCACGAAAGCGUGGGGAGCAAA